Molecule: long non-coding RNA, 208 nt
Organism: Lemur catta (Ring-tailed lemur)
Lineage: Eukaryota; Metazoa; Chordata; Mammalia; Primates; Lemuridae
Exons: 3
Source: RefSeq, a predicted model, not a curated record
UGUCGUCCCAGCUUGGUGUUCAGGGAAAACAGGACUCAGUCUUGGAAGGAGAAAUUGCCACAAUGGGAAGACGAUGAGUCAGAGAACACGGCCGAGUGGUAGCAGCCCAGCACUCCCCACCCAAAAGUGAGGGGCCCAGAUUAUUUAAUAUGAACACACUGGAACUGAUGAUAGAGGCUCAAAAUAGAGAAGCUGGAGACAAGGCCAG